GGAGGGGUGGCUGAGUGGUUGAAAGCACUGGUCUUGAAAACCAGCGUAGGUUAAUAGCCUACCCAGGGUUCGAAUCCCUGCCCCUCCGCCA
Molecule: transfer RNA, 91 nt
Filed under: Endozoicomonas sp. OPT23
Lineage: Bacteria; Pseudomonadati; Pseudomonadota; Gammaproteobacteria; Oceanospirillales; Endozoicomonadaceae
Description: tRNA-Ser
Rfam family: tRNA
About the family: Transfer RNA (tRNA) molecules are approximately 80 nucleotides in length.
Source: RNAcentral